AACCGCCGUGUACGGAACCGUACGCACGGUGGUGUGAGAGGUCGGAUAAUCAACUAAUGAUUAUCCUCCUACUCGAU
Paraliobacillus sp. PM-2 is the source of this 77-nucleotide non-coding RNA. The record is from Rfam. NCBI's taxonomy places the organism in Bacteria, Bacillati, Bacillota, Bacilli, Caryophanales, Bacillaceae.